UUCCACCCACGCUGCCCUGCCCCGAUCUCACAGAGUUAUGACCGCCUCGUUGCAGUCCGUUCCUAAGUUAGCUUCUCCUUUGCUGGGGUCUGAAGCCCAGACCACUCACUCUGGGAGAAAGCAACUGGCUAUGUCAUGAGGAAAUUGAAACCACCUAUGGAGAAAGGCCCACAUGGUGAGAAAGUAAAGCCUCUUCCCAAUACCAAGUGAGUGAGUUAUACUAAAAGGGGAUCCUCCAGCCCCAAUCAAGUUUUCAUAUGACUGCAGCCCCUGUCAGCAUCCUAACUGCAACCUCAUAAAAGACCGUAGCAAUGGCCGGGUGUGGUGGCUCAUGCCUGUAAUCCCAGCACUUUGAGAGGCUGAGGCAGGUGGGUCAGCUGAGGUCAGGAGUUCAAGAUUAGCCUAGCCAACAUGGUGAAAACCCAUCUCUACUGAAAAUACAAAACAUUAACUGGGUGCGGUGGCAUACGCCUGUAGUCCCAGCUACUCGGGAGGUUGAGGCAGGAGAAUCCCCUGAACCCAGGAGGCAGAGGUUGCAGUGAGCCGAGAUCAUGCCACUGUACUCCACCCUGGGUGACGGAGUGAGACUCUGUCUCAAAACAGAAAAGACCCUAGCAAGGACCCCUUAACCAAACUGCUCCCAAAGCCUUGGCCCACACAAGUGUGAGAUAAUAAUUUAUUUUUUUAGGCCACUAGGUUUUGGCAUUAUUUGUUUUACACCAAUAGAUAACUGAUAUAGGCUCAUCCUAUACAUAUUUUUGAUGAUCUUCUUUAAAGAAUGUUUUCUUAAUUUCAUAAAUAUUUAAUAUAAUUUCAAAAUAUUGUAUUCUCAACGAGAAAACUCAACAAAGAAAGAGACAGACAUAAAAUCACUGACAAUCCUCCCAUGCAGAGGUAAAUAAAGUUAACAUUUUAGAACCCUACAGUUUAGUCAGAUUAUACAGUAUUUAGUUUGUUGAAGUGCAUAUUCACAUGUGCAAAAAUAGUUUUAUUGAGUCUGUCUUAGCCCCAGACAGAGGCUAUGGGAACUGGACUUUCACAAAUAUAGAGAGCCCUAAUUUGAGCUUUUUAUCAAAUUAUAUAAUUAUGUAGAUCAUACGCUAAGCCUUUGUAGAAUUAUUAUGUUUCAUUAUUAUUUGGUUACAGUCCAGGCGAGGUGACUUCCAAGGUUACCCAGCUCUCUUAGAAAUAAUAAAAGAAGGCUCUAUCUUGGCAGAAAUUCAAAUUUAGAAAGCUCUUCCUGAUGUGUAAUCUGACUCCUUUCUGAUAUUAUUGAAGUCCAAAUUUGGAUGAGACUAGAUAUAAUAAUUUUCAAUACAUAUCUCUGGGAAAGAGUGACUUUUUCCUCCACCUUAGAAAUGAGUCUAAGAGGAGUACUUUUGUUUUUUGUGAAAAACUGGAUGCGUGACAUUCUCCACAGUAUUCGGUUAUUGGCUUCAUUGCUGUAACAAACAGAGCACCAAUAUUUAGAGUUUCAAACAAGCUAAACCUUACUUUCUCUCUUUUUAAAUUUUCCAGAGGUAGAUGUCUCAAUCUUUGUUGGGAAGUCUUCUCUAAUAUGUUCAACUAAAUAAUCAAAAUAUAUCUUUUUUUAGGAUUCAUCACCUUAAACAUCAUUUUUGUAAUUAUUUUAUGUGCUCUGUAUAUUAC
Molecule: long non-coding RNA, 1650 nt
Organism: Homo sapiens (human)
Lineage: Eukaryota; Metazoa; Chordata; Mammalia; Primates; Hominidae
Source: Ensembl